RNAcentral lists this ribosomal RNA (253 nucleotides) under uncultured bacterium. RNAcentral's name for it is "partial 16S ribosomal RNA". It matches the Rfam family "Bacterial small subunit ribosomal RNA", at positions 524 to 776 of the family's 1533-position model. The record is from RNAcentral.
UACGUAGGGUGCAAGCGUUGUCCGGAAUUACUGGGCGUAAAGCGUACGUAGGCGGCGGGUUAAGUCGAAUGUUAAAGCCUGGGGCUCAACCCCAGAGAUGCACUCGAUACUGGCCUGCUAGAGGGCGAUAGAGGAAAGCGGAAUUCCCAGUGUAGCGGUGAAAUGCGUAGAUAUUGGGAGGAACAUCAGUAGCGAAGGCGGCUUUCUGGGUCGCACCUGACGCUGAGGUACGAAAGCGUGGGGAGCAAACGGG